Molecule: non-coding RNA, 86 nt
Organism: Armillaria luteobubalina
Lineage: Eukaryota; Fungi; Basidiomycota; Agaricomycetes; Agaricales; Physalacriaceae
Source: the annotation of a GenBank genome assembly
GGCCUGAUGGUCUAGUAGUAUGAUUCCUUGUUAGGGUGUUCGUACAACCAUCGAGGAGGUCCCGGGUUCAAUUCCCGAUCAGGCCC